UCAGUUCGGAUUGUAGUCUGCAACUCGACUACAUGAAGCUGGAAUCGCUAGUAAUCGCAGAUCAGAAUGCUGCGGUGAAUACGUUCCCGGGUCUUGUACACACCGCCCGUCACACCAUGGGAGUCGGAAAUGCCCGAAGCCGGUGACCAAACCAAUAAGGAAGGAGCCGUCGAAGGCAGGUCUGAUAACUGGGGUGAAGUCGUAACAAGGUACC
This 214-nucleotide ribosomal RNA is filed under the name uncultured bacterium. RNAcentral describes it as "partial 16S ribosomal RNA". It matches the Rfam family "Bacterial small subunit ribosomal RNA", at positions 1288 to 1500 of the family's 1533-position model. The record is from RNAcentral.